UACGGGAGGCAGCAGUGGGGAAUAUUGCACAAUGGGCGCAAGCCUGAUGCAGCCAUGCCGCGUGUAUGAAGAAGGCCUUCGGGUUGUAAAGUACUUUCAGUCGUGAGGAAGGUGUUAAGGUUAAUAACCUUAGCAAUUGACGUUAGCGACAGAAGAAGCACCGGCUAACUCCGUGCCAGCAGCCGCGGUAAUACGGAGGGUGCGAGCGUUAAUCGGAAUUACUGGGCGUAAAGGGCACGCAGGCGGUUAAUUAAGUUGGAUGUGAAAUCCCCGGGCUUAACCUGGGAAUGGCAUUCAAGACUGGUUAGCUAGAGUCUUGUAGGAGGGGGUAGAAUUCCAUGUGUAGCGGUGAAAUGCGUAGAGAUGUGGAGGAAUACCGGUGGCGAAGGCGGCCCCUGGACAAAGACUGACGCUCAUGUGCGAAAGCGUGGGGAGCAAACGAGGGAUUAGAUACC
This 455-nucleotide ribosomal RNA is filed under the name uncultured bacterium. RNAcentral describes it as "bacterial SSU rRNA". It matches the Rfam family "Bacterial small subunit ribosomal RNA", at positions 340 to 786 of the family's 1533-position model. The record is from RNAcentral.